Molecule: ribosomal RNA, 634 nt
Filed under: uncultured fungus
Lineage: Eukaryota; Fungi
Description: eukaryotic LSU rRNA
Rfam family: 5.8S ribosomal RNA (bases 240-394)
Source: RNAcentral
AAGUCGUAACAAGGUCUCCGUAGGUGAACCUGCGGAGGGAUCAUUACCGAGUUAGGGUCUCACCGGCCCGAUCUCCCAACCCUUUGUCUACUUGACCAUCGUUGCUUCGGCGAGCCCGUCCUCACGGACCGCCGGGGGGUCUUUGUACCCCUUGGCCCGCGCUCGUCGAUAGCCCCCAAAUUUAAAAAAUCUUAACUAAACGUGUCUUGAGUCUAAGUAUUAUUGUUAAAUAAAAACAAAACUUUCAACAACGGAUCUCUUGGUUCUGGCAUCGAUGAAGAACGCAGCGAAAUGCGAUAAGUAAUGCGAAUUGCAGAAUUCCAGUGAGUCAUCGAAUCUUUGAACGCACAUUGCGCCCUUUGGUAUUCCGAAGGGCAUGCCUGUUCGAGCGUCAUUAUCACCCCUCAAGCCCUCGGCUUGGUGUUGGACGGUUUGGUGGAGACCCCCCUCGGGUGGGCUUCUACCCCUCCCAAAGACAAUGACGGCGGCCUCGUUGGACCCCCGGUACACUGAGUUCUUCACGGGACACGUAUCGGACACAUGGGUUUACGGGACACGGUCUGCCUCCCCUCAGGGAGAAUCUUUUUUUAUCAAGGUUGACCUCGGAUCAGGUAGGGAUACCCGCUGAACUUAA